AAAUUGAAGAGUUUGAUCAUGGCUCAGAUUGAACGCUGGCGGCAGGCCUAACACAUGCAAGUCGAACGGUAACAGGAAGCAGCUUGCUGCUUUGCUGACGAGUGGCGGACGGGUGAGUAAUGUCUGGGAAACUGCCUGAUGGAGGGGGAUAACUACUGGAAACGGUGGCUAAUACCGCAUAACGUCGCAAGACCAAAGAGGGGGACCUUCGGGCCUCUUGCCAUCAGAUGUGCCCAGAUGGGAUUAGCUUGUUGGUGAGGUAACGGCUCACCAAGGCGACGAUCCCUAGCUGGUCUGAGAGGAUGACCAGCCACACUGGAACUGAGACACGGUCCAGACUCCUACGGGAGGCAGCAGUGGGGAAUAUUGCACAAUGGGCGCAAGCCUGAUGCAGCCAUGCCGCGUGUAUGAAGAAGGCCUUCGGGUUGUAAAGUACUUUCAGCGGGGAGGAAGGUGUUGCGGUUAAUAACCGCAGCAAUUGACGUUACCCGCAGAAGAAGCACCGGCUAACUCCGUGCCAGCAGCCGCGGUAAUACGGAGGGUGCAAGCGUUAAUCGGAAUUACUGGGCGUAAAGCGCACGCAGGCGGUCUGUCAAGUCGGAUGUGAAAUCCCCGGGCUCAACCUGGGAACUGCAUUCGAAACUGGCAGGCUUGAGUCUUGUAGAGGGGGGUAGAAUUCCAGGUGUAGCGGUGAAAUGCGUAGAGAUCUGGAGGAAUACCGGUGGCGAAGGCGGCCCCCUGGACAAAGACUGACGCUCAGGUGCGAAAGCGUGGGGAGCAAACAGGAUUAGAUACCCUGGUAGUCCACGCCGUAAACGAUGUCUACUUGGAGGUUGUGCCCUUGAGGCGUGGCUUCCGGAGCUAACGCGUUAAGUAGACCGCCUGGGGAGUACGGCCGCAAGGUUAAAACUCAAAUGAAUUGACGGGGGCCCGCACAAGCGGUGGAGCAUGUGGUUUAAUUCGAUGCAACGCGAAGAACCUUACCUGGUCUUGACAUCCACGGAAGUUUUCAGAGAUGAGAAUGUGCCUUCGGGAACCGUGAGACAGGUGCUGCAUGGCUGUCGUCAGCUCGUGUUGUGAAAUGUUGGGUUAAGUCCCGCAACGAGCGCAACCCUUAUCCUUUGUUGCCAGCGGUUAGGCCGGGAACUCAAAGGAGACUGCCAGUGAUAAACUGGAGGAAGGUGGGGAUGACGUCAAGUCAUCAUGGCCCUUACGACCAGGGCUACACACGUGCUACAAUGGCGCAUACAAAGAGAAGCGACCUCGCGAGAGCAAGCGGACCUCAUAAAGUGCGUCGUAGUCCGGAUUGGAGUCUGCAACUCGACUCCAUGAAGUCGGAAUCGCUAGUAAUCGUGGAUCAGAAUGCCACGGUGAAUACGUUCCCGGGCCUUGUACACACCGCCCGUCACACCAUGGGAGUGGGUUGCAAAAGAAGUAGGUAGCUUAACCUUCGGGAGGGCGCUUACCACUUUGUGAUUCAUGACUGGGGUGAAGUCGUAACAAGGUAACCGUAGGGGAACCUGCGGUUGGAUCACCUCCUUA
Molecule: ribosomal RNA, 1542 nt
Filed under: Salmonella enterica subsp. enterica serovar Senftenberg
Lineage: Bacteria; Pseudomonadati; Pseudomonadota; Gammaproteobacteria; Enterobacterales; Enterobacteriaceae
Also listed under: 1 other name
Description: bacterial SSU rRNA
Rfam family: Bacterial small subunit ribosomal RNA
Source: RNAcentral